Molecule: ribosomal RNA, 174 nt
Filed under: uncultured bacterium
Lineage: Bacteria
Description: partial 16S ribosomal RNA
Rfam family: Bacterial small subunit ribosomal RNA
Source: RNAcentral
ACCAGCCAUUGUCUUGGGCGCAGCCUGAUGCAGCCAUGCCGCGUGUGUGAUGAAGGCCUUCGGGUUGUAAAGCACUUUCAGUCGUGAGGAAGGUGGUGUAGUUAAUAGCUGCAUUAUUUGACGUUAGCGACAGAAGAAGCACCGGCUAACUCCGUGCCAGCAGCCGCGGUAAUA